Non-coding RNA from Oryctolagus cuniculus (rabbit), 5619 nucleotides. Lineage: Eukaryota; Metazoa; Chordata; Mammalia; Lagomorpha; Leporidae. The record is from RefSeq and is a predicted model, not a curated record.
CCAAUUGUAGACCUACCUGACUGUGGGUCUUUCACAAAGUUGUGGACAUGUUGGGGAUGGGCACUGACUCUGAAACACCUUUGCAAUUGUGGCAGCUAACUCUCUGCACAAUAGAGUGCUGGAUUUCAACAGGUAAGUGCUGUUGGAACAAACUCGAUCAGAGUCAGGCAUUCAGAGAAGUUGACAUCACUGUGUUCUUUUCAUCAUAAUUAGGUAAAGGUGUAACUUCCAGAUCCAUUUUCACAAAACUGAAGCGAUUCAUUAUGAUUUCAUUCUUCCCAAGGGAAGAAGGAGUGCUGCUGUCCACAUGGAGAAUACGGCACGGCCUUAUUGAGAAUGAUGCCUCCGUAAGCAACACACAGCAUUUACAAGAAGUAUUUUGAAGUCCAGCGUCUAAGUGGUUGUGACUCGGGAUUUCCUGAAAGAUGGAGAUUUCCUGGAAACAUUUCUUCUUCGGUGGCAGUGACAGCUAGCUGUCUGCCCAAGAGUCACGUGUUCCUCCCCUGUUGACUCUGCUGGAGAGAGACUGCUGACCAGACAGCAUCGGGAAUUCACAGGAGUGAAAGGAGAGCCGUGUGUCACCUCUGGACCAGGACUCUGAUAGGAAUGCAGUUCAUCCACGGCAUGUAACAAAACACUGAGUCAACUCUGCCAUGAACCUGGUCCACGAUUCCUGCCACAAGGUCGCUAAGUGUGAACUGAGAGAGAUGUAUCAGUGCAAAAGAGGAAAUUGGGGCCCAGAGAAGACCCUAUGAAGACACGAGAAGAACCAGGAGGAAGCCAACCUUCUGACACCUGGAGCGUGGACUAAGAGCCUCCAGAACUCAACAGGGAAUCCCUAGGAGAACGUGACCUUUCAAGGAGAAGAGCCAUCGUUGGAACAUCCUCACUCCUUGAAGUCUGAAGCUUAGGAUGUUGCUGAGGGUGAAGGGAAGAAGACACAGCAGAGGAAAAAAAGAAGACCAUGUGAGAGACAGCCAUAAACCCGAGGUAACAAACUGUAAUAGAGCUGCCUCUUCUUUUAUCAAACCCAGUGGAAGUCCAUGGAGUGAAUGCUGAAGUCAAUGAACUUUCUGUUUGGAAACUGCUUUUGCAGUUUGCCCUGUUUUAUUGAUGUGUCUCCUGACUUGGAAAUUUCACAAUUCUGGGUUCUUUUCCUAGCAACAUUCUCCUUAUAAUCUCCAAAUUAUUUCAUCCACUUUAAUGUUUAGCUGUGAUUAUCCAGUCCUAUUUGGUUUUCCUCCAAUUAGCAGUUCAGGAGACCUAUCACAGUGAUGUGUGCAAAAAAUACACCAUAGAUUAACGAUGAAAAUAGAAGAACUCUCACACCUUCUAAUACAUAGCAGUGCUCCUGCAUGGUAGACCAAUGGCAGCUUUACAGUCAAGUUUAAUACUUAAACUAGACCAUCAAAUUACCUUAGAAUUAGAGCUCAGAUUUAGUUAACAUGUUCUAUUUUUGGAGGAAGAGAUUAAUAAACUGAGUGGCUGCCAAUAAACUUUUGUAAAAAUAUAUUUAUUUCUGAUCUUAAUUCUUAUAUUUCUGACCUUAAUUCUGCUUGAGAAAUUUCACCAUACAACAAACCUCAACCCCAAAUUAUCUUUAGCGGUAAAACACAAUGGGUGGUUGGAUCAAUAUCAGCAUGGCUACAGAGCCUGCAAUUUUUCUCCUUUUCCAUGACACAGCUGCAAAUAAGGUCAGGGCACAGCGUCUCACCUUCCCAACUAGCAGGUCCAUAGGCAAUAGGAUUAUUUUAACCGUGAUCUUAAGAACCAACAAUCAAAAUGACAAAUCCUCACAUUAUUUGACCGUGUUUACAACGAAGUCAGACAUUCCUUGUUAACACGGGGAGGCCACCCCGCGUUCUAGGCGCUGUUUGUGAAUCUGUCCACCUGAUUAGUUUGUGUUCUCUGUAAUAACCCUGAUAGCACUGAACAUAUGUUGUGGGCAAAAGCUGUCAAGCAAAAAAGCCUGAGUUAUUGCCAUUCAUCUCUGUCGCCUUUCAUACACACACUUCUCCGGUUACUGGAUAAGGCGGUGAAAGAUUUGGAUUACGAUACUCUUCGUAUUUUCACAUGUAAUAAAAAUAGUGUGAUGAAUUUGAAAUGACUAGAAGGAAGUCAGAAAAAACGGCCACUCAUUUUGCUCCAUUUAAAUUCAUAGCCUAGAACACUAUGGCUAAUAAUUAGCUGUAGCUAAUGAAACAAAGCACAUGUAAUUGACAAGAGUGCACCAGAGAGGCACACUCCAUCAUUUUCAGAUACAGUACAUUGCAUAUGACAGAAUUUUUAGAAAAAAGAGAAAGCUUGAACCAGGCAGAAUCUCCAAAGAAAAGGAGAAAAUGGAAAAAAAUAACAAAAACCUGCUUCCUUUUUAGACACACAUAGAAGCGUUCUGUAGGGUAUGUGAGUUUUAAAUGUGCCUGACAUUUUUAUUAAUGUGCUGCAGUCAGUGUUUACCUAAGUGAGCUCGUUCUGCAGAAGCUUUUGUUGGGAGUUCUCCGUGAACACAUGUUUUAUCUUUGAAUUUUACAAUCUGACAAAUACAAAUGUUCAGCAGAGCGUGUGGUGCGCUCAGUUACUCACGCACAACAGCGAGUCACCUGGGGCUGCUGGGUUCUCCUCCAGCUGGUUUGCAGUCAAUUGAUUACAGUCAUUUCCUAAGCAUUAUGAACUGCACUUUAAGCAUGUGCUCUUACGUGUCUUCAUUUGACUUUGGGAAAAUUCCACUAGAUUAGAGGAACAGCGUAGAGUCUCAUUAUAAGCAUGAGACGGGCCUCAUUAAAGGGCUGGGGUGUUGUUAUUCAAGUCAUGUCCACACUUCAUUAGAAGCUGUAUUCUGAAUAACUUACUCGUAUCAACGGUGACGUCGUAUCAUCUGAAACCAAAUGUCAGUGCUGAGCACAGAAUCGCAGGGAUACUUGUCCCCCUCUGUAGGUCACCUGCAGAAACAAAAUCAUCUACAGAAAUGAUUUCAGAUAAUGUAAUAAUCACCCUCCUAAAACAUGAUUCUCUAUUAACUACACAGGUCUCCUUAAACGUGCAUUUUACAAUGCAAAGUCCGUUUUGAAUAUGGAAUACUAUGGAAAUAUUGGGAUACUAAAAUAUGCCUCUUAGUAUUUCAGAAAGUAUGAAAAUGAUAGCAGAGAUAUUUUUCCCUUUAACCUGCCUUGCAACAGGGGAAAAAGACAAACCCCCAAAAAGGAUAACCCAAAACAAAGAAACCCCGGCACGGCGUUCAGUAUGUACAAAAGAACACAGACUUAAGCUGGGAACAAGCCUGCAGAACCUUUUGAUUUCACAAGCUGACGGACUAGAAGAGACAGAAUGUUGAACAAGGCAAUUGCAGCCUCCUCGGGUCAGCAGGCACCUGUUUCACAGAGCUGCGCACCAAUGUCUGCAACGAAUCUUUGUUCCCGUCCUUCUCUUUCAUCUGCUGUCUUGCAGCAAGGAGUGUCUGAAAGGACGCUGGCUGAAACAGAUGGAGUGCUCUUCCUGCCAGCGUCCCUGACCUGAGUCUCGUAGCGAGGCGUCCUGCUAAAGAUGCUAUUUCUGUUCAGUGGUGAUUUUAAUUGCUUAUCUUGUUCCAGUGCUGGGUGGACUUAAUCAGUGUGUCUUUUAAAAAUAGCUGCACAAAUGGAUUAUUUACUGUAGUCUUUUAAUGAUUACACUUAAUGAAUACCAUCACAUGCCAAGAAACUCGCAUAGGUCAGCACAUCUAAGAAAUCAUUCUGACAUUAUUACAUUUAUAAACAUAAAAUAAAGCGCUGUACAAUUAGAUUUAGCUCCUCCAUGUGAGAAAUAAUACAUUUACAUCCCAUGUUGUGUUAAGUGAUUUUCAAGUAUUUUUAAAAUUAUAAGCUCUGUAGACUGAUGUAUAUUCUUCUUUAUCUGAGCUCAGUUCUGUCUGUCUUCUGAGUAUAUUUUCACCUCAAAAAUGAACAUGUGAUAAUGAUCAUAUGAGACCACUCGAUCUCCGUUGACCCCUGGCUUUAAGGCUUGAGCAACUUGCAUUCAAGAUUUUUUAUGACACGGACAACAGAUUUAGGGAAGGCAUCUGAGAGAAACCGAGGGUCGUGGCGGAGUCUGGUUCUGGGAGGACCGUGAGAAGCACGGUGUCAGGACGAUGGAGACCACCGCGGGAGCUGGAAGAGAGGUUGUCCCCACUGUGCGGAGAGCAGCAGCCUGAGGAGCAAGACGCAAUGCCACCUGCAGGAAAGGGAGCAAGGCCGACGUGGGUGGGAGCAGCACAGCUCGUGUCCUGAGCAGUCCCCAGGCUGAACCUCCAGCAGAACUUGCAACCGCACGUGAAGACGUCCACGGAUGCAGGAUGCAGAUGAACGCGGUUGUUUGAAAUACGAAAGAAGAUUACGUAGGCUUCAGAUUCGGCCAGGGAGAGCAGCAGGCGUGAGAGGUGAGGUCCCAGGCAGCGGGAGAGCCGGACGUGGUAGUGGCCCCUCCUUGCUGUUGCUUGUCUGCCUUCAGUGCAGACCAUCGCUCAGGCGCCCACCUGCCUUCCUUCCUUCUGCUUUGGAUGGAUGGGUGCUGUAAGGAGGCCACUGCCUCGCUCUUAAUGAAAGAUCUCUGUAUUUGAAGUCAUUCUCUAAGCCAUUCCAUAGCCGAAUCUCCCCUUGCGUAUCAUAUUUCUCCUGUGGUAAGAAGCUGUCAAGUUUGUGUCGUCUCUAGUUUCCUUCUCUGGACACCUCUGCUUUUCAAAUCCUUUUACAUCCAGCUGAGUUAACUCUAGAUUUACAAAAACUAGUGUUGCGUAUACGCUAGGGAGAGUUGUUACUUCCAAGUCCUCAGAUUUUCAUUUCUGUUAUCAUCACUGCUAGAUUUUAUUUGCUUUUCAGUCAACUCCAAAUGCCAGGGCCUCUUCGGCCACAUUUCCCACUAAUUAAUUUUAUGUUCCUUUGUAGAGAACUCUAAUAUUUACUACUUUACAAUUUGUUAAUGACUAUAAGCUAAUAGGUCUUUGUGCUCUAGUACAUUAUAAUACUCAAUUAUUUUCUUAUCAGGGGCUCAUGAUUGAGGAGUGUGCUAGGUGCUAGAGAGACAGAUGAGCAGAACUAGCAGCUGGAAACACACAGGAUUCAUUUGAAGGCUGAAAUGAUACAAACAGUCAUCCUCUUCCAGCAAACCUUUCAUUAUUUUCCCUUGUAGUCUUUGGUGUUCCUCUAGGAGAGAGAAUGUCCCAGCCCCUUAAGCUGUAUUUCUGUGUCUACUGAAGUAUGGGGUUAGCGAAAGGAAGGCCAGUUUUACCUCCACUAAUCCAAGGAGGCGAUCGGUUGGAGGAAAAUGGAUUAAGAUAGAUUCAUUUUCAAAUCCUGGAUCAAUAAGCCUCUAACAAUAUAACCUUGAGCAAAUUCCUCUGCUUCCCUGAAACUCUAUUUCUUCAGUGGUAAAAUGUAAUUCCCGUGUGCAGGAUUUCUGUGAGAAUCGUGCAAUAUAUGUCAAGUGCCUGCGUGGGUGGGUUCCCAAAUUAGCAGGCGCUGGCCAAAGACCCUGUCUCUGGAUGUCAGCUAGUGCUGUCUAUUUUAAAUCACUAGUGAUUCUGAGUUGAAUGUUAGUAUUGGAACGCUUAAGCCAAAAUAGUUUUUUUAUCAGCCUUAUUUUUUAUGU